This 2791-nucleotide ribosomal RNA is filed under the name Escherichia coli. Its description in RNAcentral is "bacterial LSU rRNA". It matches the Rfam family "Bacterial large subunit ribosomal RNA". The record is from RNAcentral. Lineage: Bacteria; Pseudomonadati; Pseudomonadota; Gammaproteobacteria; Enterobacterales; Enterobacteriaceae.
UUAAGCGACUAAGCGUACACGGUGGAUGCCCUGGCAGUCAGAGGCGAUGAAGGACGUGCUAAUCUGCGAUAAGCGUCGGUAAGGUGAUAUGAACCGUUAUAACCGGCGAUUUCCGAAUGGGGAAACCCAGUGUGUUUCGACACACUAUCAUUAACUGAAUCCAUAGGUUAAUGAGGCGAACCGGGGGAACUGAAACAUCUAAGUACCCCGAGGAAAAGAAAUCAACCGAGAUUCCCCCAGUAGCGGCGAGCGAACGGGGAGCAGCCCAGAGCCUGAAUCAGUAUGUGUGUUAGUGGAAGCGUCUGGAAAGGCGCGCGAUACAGGGUGACAGCCCCGUACACAAAAAUGCACAUACUGUGAGCUCGAUGAGUAGGGCGGGACACGUGGUAUCCUGUCUGAAUAUGGGGGGACCAUCCUCCAAGGCUAAAUACUCCUGACUGACCGAUAGUGAACCAGUACCGUGAGGGAAAGGCGAAAAGAACCCCGGCGAGGGGAGUGAAAAAGAACCUGAAACCGUGUACGUACAAGCAGUGGGAGCACGCUUAGGCGUGUGACUGCGUACCUUUUGUAUAAUGGGUCAGCGACUUAUAUUCUGUAGCAAGGUUAACCGAAUAGGGGAGCCGAAGGGAAACCGAGUCUUAACUGGGCGUUUAGUUGCAGGGUAUAGACCCGAAACCCGGUGAUCUAGCCAUGGGCAGGUUGAAGGUUGGGUAACACUAACUGGAGGACCGAACCGACUAAUGUUGAAAAAUUAGCGGAUGACUUGUGGCUGGGGGUGAAAGGCCAAUCAAACCGGGAGAUAGCUGGUUCUCCCCGAAAGCUAUUUAGGUAGCGCCUCGUGAAUUCAUCUCCGGGGGUAGAGCACUGUUUCGGCAAGGGGGUCAUCCCGACUUACCAACCCGAUGCAAACUGCGAAUACCGGAGAAUGUUAUCACGGGAGACACACGGCGGGUGCUAACGUCCGUCGUGAAGAGGGAAACAACCCAGACCGCCAGCUAAGGUCCCAAAGUCAUGGUUAAGUGGGAAACGAUGUGGGAAGGCCCAGACAGCCAGGAUGUUGGCUUAGAAGCAGCCAUCAUUUAAAGAAAGCGUAAUAGCUCACUGGUCGAGUCGGCCUGCGCGGAAGAUGUAACGGGGCUAAACCAUGCACCGAAGCUGCGGCAGCGACGCUUAUGCGUUGUUGGGUAGGGGAGCGUUCUGUAAGCCUGCGAAGGUGUGCUGUGAGGCAUGCUGGAGGUAUCAGAAGUGCGAAUGCUGACAUAAGUAACGAUAAAGCGGGUGAAAAGCCCGCUCGCCGGAAGACCAAGGGUUCCUGUCCAACGUUAAUCGGGGCAGGGUGAGUCGACCCCUAAGGCGAGGCCGAAAGGCGUAGUCGAUGGGAAACAGGUUAAUAUUCCUGUACUUGGUGUUACUGCGAAGGGGGGACGGAGAAGGCUAUGUUGGCCGGGCGACGGUUGUCCCGGUUUAAGCGUGUAGGCUGGUUUUCCAGGCAAAUCCGGAAAAUCAAGGCUGAGGCGUGAUGACGAGGCACUACGGUGCUGAAGCAACAAAUGCCCUGCUUCCAGGAAAAGCCUCUAAGCAUCAGGUAACAUCAAAUCGUACCCCAAACCGACACAGGUGGUCAGGUAGAGAAUACCAAGGCGCUUGAGAGAACUCGGGUGAAGGAACUAGGCAAAAUGGUGCCGUAACUUCGGGAGAAGGCACGCUGAUAUGUAGGUGAAGUCCCUCGCGGAUGGAGCUGAAAUCAGUCGAAGAUACCAGCUGGCUGCAACUGUUUAUUAAAAACACAGCACUGUGCAAACACGAAAGUGGACGUAUACGGUGUGACGCCUGCCCGGUGCCGGAAGGUUAAUUGAUGGGGUCAGCGCAAGCGAAGCUCUUGAUCGAAGCCCCGGUAAACGGCGGCCGUAACUAUAACGGUCCUAAGGUAGCGAAAUUCCUUGUCGGGUAAGUUCCGACCUGCACGAAUGGCGUAAUGAUGGCCAGGCUGUCUCCACCCGAGACUCAGUGAAAUUGAACUCGCUGUGAAGAUGCAGUGUACCCGCGGCAAGACGGAAAGACCCCGUGAACCUUUACUAUAGCUUGACACUGAACAUUGAGCCUUGAUGUGUAGGAUAGGUGGGAGGCUUUGAAGUGUGGACGCCAGUCUGCAUGGAGCCGACCUUGAAAUACCACCCUUUAAUGUUUGAUGUUCUAACGUUGACCCGUGAUCCGGGUUGCGGACAGUGUCUGGUGGGUAGUUUGACUGGGGCGGUCUCCUCCUAAAGAGUAACGGAGGAGCACGAAGGUUGGCUAAUCCUGGUCGGACAUCAGGAGGUUAGUGCAAUGGCAUAAGCCAGCUUGACUGCGAGCGUGACGGCGCGAGCAGGUGCGAAAGCAGGUCAUAGUGAUCCGGUGGUUCUGAAUGGAAGGGCCAUCGCUCAACGGAUAAAAGGUACUCCGGGGAUAACAGGCUGAUACCGCCCAAGAGUUCAUAUCGACGGCGGUGUUUGGCACCUCGAUGUCGGCUCAUCACAUCCUGGGGCUGAAGUAGGUCCCAAGGGUAUGGCUGUUCGCCAUUUAAAGUGGUACGCGAGCUGGGUUUAGAACGUCGUGAGACAGUUCGGUCCCUAUCUGCCGUGGGCGCUGGAGAAUUGAGGGGGGCUGCUCCUAGUACGAGAGGACCGGAGUGGACGCAUCACUGGUGUUCGGGUUGUCAUGCCAAUGGCACUGCCCGGUAGCUAAAUGCGGAAGAGAUAAGUGCUGAAAGCAUCUAAGCACGAAACUUGCCCCGAGAUGAGUUCUCCCUGAC